GGGCGUAAAGCGUAUGCAGGCGGACAUGCAAGUCAGAAGUGAAAUCCCAGGGCUUAACCCUGGAAUGGCUUUUGAAACUGCAUGUCUCGAGUCUCGGAGGGGCCAGCGGAAUUCUCAGUGUAGAGGUGAAAUUCGCAGAUAUUGAGAGGAACACCAGUGGCGUAGGCGGCUGGCUGGACGAGUACUGACGCUCAGAUACGAAAGCGUGGGGAUCAAACAGGAUUAGAUACCCUGGUAGUCCACGCUGUAAACGAUGUGUGCUAGUUGUCGGGGCCUUCAGGUCUCGGUGACGCAGCUAACGCUUUAAGCACACCGCCUGGGGAGUACGGUCGCAAGAUUAAAACUCAAAGGAAUUGACGGGGACCCGCACAAGCGGUGGAGUAUGUUGUUUAAUUCGAAGCAACGCGAAGAACCUUACCUACACUUGACAUACCUCUUGGGGCUUUCAGAGAUGAUUGCUUUCGGUUCGGCCGGGGAGGAUACAGGUGCUGCAUGGCU
Molecule: ribosomal RNA, 498 nt
Filed under: uncultured Alphaproteobacteria bacterium
Lineage: Bacteria; Pseudomonadati; Pseudomonadota; Alphaproteobacteria
Description: bacterial SSU rRNA
Rfam family: Bacterial small subunit ribosomal RNA
Source: RNAcentral